Molecule: ribosomal RNA, 115 nt
Filed under: Prolemur simus (greater bamboo lemur)
Lineage: Eukaryota; Metazoa; Chordata; Mammalia; Primates; Lemuridae
Source: RNAcentral
GUCUACGGCCACACCACCCUGAACGCGCCUGAUCUCGUCUGAUCUCGGAAGCUAAGCAGGGUUGGGCCUGGUUAGUACUUGGAUGGGAGAUCAUAGAUGCCCGUGGUCUUAAACA